AACGAACGCUGGCGGCAUGCCUAAUACAUGCAAGUCGAACGAGACCUUCGGGUCUAGUGGCGCACGGGUGCGUAACGCGUGGGAAUCUGCCCUUGGGUUCGGAAUAACUCGCCGAAAGGCGUGCUAAUACCGGAUGAUGACGUAAGUCCAAAGAUUUAUCGCCCAAGGAUGAGCCCGCGUAGGAUUAGCUUGUUGGUGAGGUAAAAGCUCACCAAGGCGACGAUCCUUAGCUGGUCUGAGAGGAUGAUCAGCCACACUGGGACUGAGACACGGCCCAGACUCCUACGGGAGGCAGCAGUAGGGAAUAUUGGACAAUGGGCGAAAGCCUGAUCCAGCAAUGCCGCGUGAGUGAUGAAGGCCUUAGGGUUGUAAAGCUCUUUUACCCGGGAUGAUAAUGACAGUACCGGGAGAAUAAGCUCCGGCUAACUCCGUGCCAGCAGCCGCGGUAAUACGGAGGGAGCUAGCGUUGUUCGGAAUUACUGGGCGUAAAGCGCACG
Molecule: ribosomal RNA, 497 nt
Filed under: uncultured bacterium
Lineage: Bacteria
Description: bacterial SSU rRNA
Rfam family: Bacterial small subunit ribosomal RNA
Source: RNAcentral